Molecule: ribosomal RNA, 497 nt
Filed under: uncultured bacterium
Lineage: Bacteria
Description: partial 16S ribosomal RNA
Rfam family: Bacterial small subunit ribosomal RNA
Source: RNAcentral
GAUGAACGCUGGCGGCGUGCCUAAUACAUGCAAGUCGAGCGAACGGACGAGAAGCUUGCUUCUCUGAUGUUAGCGGCGGACGGGUGAGUAACACGUGGAUAACCUACCUAUAAGACUGGGAUAACUUCGGGAAACCGGAGCUAAUACCGGAUGAUAUUUUGAACCGCAUGGUUCAAAAGUGAAAGACGGUCUUGCUUUCACUUAUAUAUGUAUCCGCGCUGCAUUAGCUAGUUGGUAAGGUAACGCCUUACCAAGGCAACGAUGCAUAGCCGACCUGAGAGGGUGAUCGGCCACACUGGAACUGAGACACGGUCCAGACUCCUACGGGAGGCAGCAGUAGGGAAUCUUCCGCAAUGGGCGAAAGCCUGACGGAGCAACGCCGCGUGAGUGAUGAAGGUCUUCGGAUCGUAAAACUCUGUUAUUAGGGAAGAACAUAUGUGUAAGUAACUGUGCACAUCUUGACGGUACCUAAUCAGAAAGCCACGGCUAACUACGUG